This 402-nucleotide ribosomal RNA is filed under the name Bacteroidota bacterium. RNAcentral describes it as "Bacteroidetes bacterium partial 16S ribosomal RNA". It matches the Rfam family "Bacterial small subunit ribosomal RNA", at positions 355 to 776 of the family's 1533-position model. The record is from RNAcentral. Lineage: Bacteria; Pseudomonadati; Bacteroidota. RNAcentral also lists the same sequence under 1 other name.
UGGGGAAUUUUGCACAAUGGGGGAAACCCUGAUGCAGCGACGCCGCGUGAUUUAGAAGGCCUUCGGGUUGUAAAAAUCUUUUCUAUGGGAAGAAAAUGACAGUACCAUAGGAAUAAGGACUGGCUAAUUACGUGCCAGCAGCCGCGGUAAUACGUAAGGUCCGAGCGUUGUCCGGAAUCAUUGGGCGUAAAGGGUACGUAGGCGGGUAAGCAAGUUAGAAGUGAAAUCCUGUAGCUCAACUACAGUAAGCUUUUAAAACUGCUCAUCUUGAGAUAUGGAAGGGAAAGUGGAAUUCCUAGUGUAGCGGUGAAAUGCGCAGAUAUUAGGAGGAAUACCGGUGGCGAAGGCGACUUUCUGGCCAUAAUCUGACGCUGAGGUACGAAAGCGUGGGUAGCAAACAGG